CCUACGGGAGGCAGCAGUGGGGAAUAUUGGACAAUGGGGGGAACCCUGAUCCAGCGACGCCGCGUGAGUGAAGAAGUAUUUCGGUAUGUAAAGCUCUAUCAGCAGGGAAGAAAAUGACGGUACCUGACUAAGAAGCCCCGGCUAACUACGUGCCAGCAGCCGCGGUAAUACGUAGGGGGCAAGCGUUAUCCGGAUUUACUGGGUGUAAAGGGAGCGUAGACGGUGCAGCAAGUCUGAUGUGAAAGGUCGGGGCCCAACCCCGGGACUGCAUUGGAAACUGUUGAACUGGAGUGCAGGAGGGGUAAGCGGAAUUCCUAGUGUAGCGGUGAAAUGCGUAGAUAUUAGGAGGAACACCGGUGGCGAAGGCGGCUUACUGGACUGUAACUGACGUUGAGGCUCGAAAGCGUGGGGAGCAAACAGGAUUAGAUACCCCAGUAGUC
This 440-nucleotide ribosomal RNA is filed under the name uncultured bacterium. RNAcentral's name for it is "partial 16S ribosomal RNA". It matches the Rfam family "Bacterial small subunit ribosomal RNA", at positions 338 to 795 of the family's 1533-position model. The record is from RNAcentral.